Canis lupus familiaris (dog) is the source of this 5113-nucleotide long non-coding RNA. RefSeq lists it as uncharacterized. The record is from RefSeq and is a predicted model, not a curated record. NCBI's taxonomy places the organism in Eukaryota, Metazoa, Chordata, Mammalia, Carnivora, Canidae. The transcript is spliced from 4 exons.
ACCCGCGGGGAGCCCCGCCUGCGCGGACCUGCUGCCGGCCGCGGGGUCGGACCCGCGGGCGGCGCCGCUGAGCAGCUCCCGAGGAGGGCGUGACCGGAGGGGCUGGUGGACGGAGCUGCGAAGCCGGGCCAGUGGAUGAAGGUACAGACUCUAAGAUGAAGCAACAUGCUCAAUCAAGGUCAUGCAAGUGGCUGGGCCAAUAAUCAAACUUGAGUGCCAUGAUUCCAAGAUGGUCAAUGGACCACCGUCACUACUGUUCCUGCCUUAGGAAUUCUAGGGCCUGGGGUUAAGGAUGAAUGGGACCUCCCCUCUGCCCUCCAGCAGCUCUGAGGCGAGAGAGACCUGACCGAAAUCACAUCCAUGAGAGGAGGAUCCAGGAAGAGGUCGGAGGCAGGAGAAGAUGGUGUCUGCAGCCUGAGAGAAGAGCGAGCUUGGGCGGGAGGCACAUGGAGGACGGAUGGAGCGUCUUCAGCCUUCAGCAAACACCAGGAGGAGGAUGCUCAGCCACAGCACCUACCACGCUGCAUUAUAGCUCUAGUUUCGGGACCAUCACUGCCACUAGACUGUGAGACACUUGGGGACAGGAAUGAGUCAAGAGCAGCACAGUGCCAGCACCUGGGACACCUCACUGAUGCCCGGCAAAUGAGUGCGUGCGUGGCGAUAUGAAGCGGGAUGUGCCUCUGAGGAUUCCACGAGAACUGGAGGCUGCCCUGGCCCACCAUGGACUUCCAUACACCUCCACCCCCAACCUUGGCAGUCCACUGGUGCUCCUCUGAGCUGCCCCCAGCACACAUGGCCUGCUGGGAACUCCCCCAAGCUUGCUGCCUAGCACAGGGCUCCUGGGGGCUGGGAGACAACGAGCCUUUGGGUAACUUGUUUGGAGUUAUCUGAGCUGAGCAGUUGUCCAGUGAUCGGGGAACCAAAUGGCCACAAAUGGUGACAAGAGCCUCCAUAUGGAUGAAGAAAGUAUGGCUGGAUUUAGCACCAGCUGUCUUUUGGGUUGUUCGGUCUUCCUUUCCCAUCUUUCCCCUUUCCAGAUCCCAUCAAGGCUCGUGGGUACCAGAAAGUUACACCCAGUGGGCAACUGUUCACAUAGUCAGUGGCAGGUGGCAGCCGUGAGUGAGGCCUAGUACCCUUUCCAGCCAUGCCCAGCCAGGCCUUGGCUCCCAAACACAGAGCUGCCUCCUGCCUGCUGGAAUUCUACAGGUGAGCCUCUGGGCAGGUACAGAGAGCUCCCCAGCAGCCAAGAGGCUGCACGGUUGGAAACAUCACUGUAGGAGCAGGACCAGCCUGUGGUUGGCACCAGAGAAGAAGGUCCUUCCCCACAUUUACCUGGGUCUCAGAUGCCAGAGAAGUGAAACAGAGCAUCAGCCCUGGUCUUGGGGUAGGGAAGGGUUCUAAAGGAGAGGCUUCCUGGGUCACCAGAGAUGGCUACGGUUGGGGAGGCAUCGCUGGCUCUCCUCUGGCAGCUCACUCUAAAGGCCUGAGCUAUCUCUGACUUGGGGGCCAGGGAAGGCUUGUGGAACUUCAAAGGAGUCCUCCCUGUCCCCUCUCUCUCCUCACUCACCCCUACGAACUCUGGGAAUGAGUUCUCCCUAACACAAGGCGGGUCCUACAACCCCGGGCAUGGCCAGGCCGAGACACAGACAUCCACAUGCGUGAGCGUGUGCCUGAGCACAGCCCACACUUCCUCAUCCCAACUGCUCUGGUACCUUCAGUCAGCCUGCAGCCAAGGCCAGGCCAGGUGGGAGCGCCUUGGAGUCUUCCUGGGAAUAGUGAGGCCCUGCUGUCUGCUUCCUGAAUGGCUGGAGCACAGUGAGUCUCCUGACGCUACCUGGCUGUCCUCCUUUUUUGCCUUCUUUCCUGAUUUCCUUGGAUGAACUCUAAGAGCCUUGAGUGAACUGACCUUGGUGUUCUUGGAAGGAACCUGUGAUGACAACCACCUGGCUGUCCUGACCCACCCCCUUGGCCUGCCUGUUCGAUCCCAGUCUGCUCAGCAGGAAGCAGGAUCUGGUGUUUGAGCCAAGUCCAGAUCAUUUAUGAUGACCGGGCAUUGAGGGGUUUAAAAAAAAGCCAAUGGGAGCAGGGCCCUGCCUUCCAGAAGCUCCUCUGACAGGUGUCUGUGUGCAGAGGAGAGGACGGGCAGGUGGGCAAGAGGCCAGGGGGAGGAAACAGCCCUCAGACUCCCCAGAGGUCACCAAGGCAGAUCCAAUUCCCUCCCUUUUGCCCUGAGAAGUGUCUACCUGUGGUCCCAGUUCUGUGGCCUUUAAGGCAAAGAGAAGGACCCUGAGGACACUAGUAUUCAGGCCAUGGUUCUAAAAACAGAGGGGUGCUCCCCCAGCCCCCAUUCUCUCCCUGGUUUGCACGGGCAGUGGGCCUUCUUACAACUGGAGCUGGCCAAAGCCAACCCCUUUCCUCCCCUGUGGGGAGCCAGGCUGGGCCUGGUGGAGCCUGGCUGCCGCGUUCAGCUUGGCUCUGGGUGGGUUCCCCUUCCCCACUGUCCCACCUACCUGCACUUCUCGACCUGCCUUCUGUCUUCUCUCUCGCUUGCUACCUACGUGACACUGCCUGCACUUGGCAUUUCUUGGGAAAGGGCUGUGGAUUUAAACCAAAUUGCACUGAGACCCCCACAGGCAGGUUAAGCUGCUCCCACCCCCAAACUCCCCUCCAAACCUCCAGAAAGAACAAUUAGCUUCUCACUGUCGCCAGAGGCUGUCUGUCAUCAUUCUCCUCCAGUAGGAGGCUCGGGUAUUGGAAGAAGAAUGGCCUGAACUCUGCAGGACCCCUCCCCUGGGGUGGCUGGUGACAGCUGGUGGAGGGGAGAGGGGGAUGGGCCCAGACAGAUUGGCAGGUAUCCCUGCGGGCCCAGAGCUGAGAAGAAGAGAACAGGAGGGGACUCAGUGGGUGGUCUACCAAGGAGCAGUCACAUAGGUCACUUGGCCACACAACGUCCCUAGAGAAAACAGGCCCAGGCCCUUGCCCGCCUAGAACAAGGAAUACAGAAUCUGAUCAUUCCUGGAGUGGAACCCCUUCUCGGUGGCAGCUGGGGAUCCCGGGGCAGGUCAGCGGUAAAAUUAUAAAAGUAGGGGAGAGGCUAGGAUUUAUGGGCUGGGGAAUGGGACCCCUCAAGCUCAGAGAGGUCUGUUAUCCCUGUGGGAUGGGCCAGGGUCCAGAUAAGGCCUUCCUCCCCGGGGCUGGGAAUGAGGGUGGACCCACAUUAGAGUCAGAGAGUCUUUACAGAGGGUAAGGGGCUGAGAGUGGGGGACACUACAAGGUCAGAGCAGGGGAGGAGGAAGAGUAGGAGUGAAGCUGGGGCUAGCCAGAUAAAAGCGGUCCUUCCAGGGGGACCUGAGGCCAGGGAAGGGCCUGCAGGGGCUGCUGCAGACCCAUGGUCUGGCUAGGGAAGGCUGAAAGAGAACUCGCACUCUGGGCAUCCGGGCAGGUGGCAGGUAUCAAGCUUAGCAGCUCCUGGAGUCCACACCAGUGCCCUCUGGCAUCCCCUGGCCUCUCUGUCCCUUGGUCUGAGUUUGAGUGUCUUUCAGCUUUGUGUCAUUAAUGCUUCUUUUGAAAGGUUCCUACUGGUUCUUUGUGGGGUUCAGGGGAAGGGGCUGACCUGGAAGCCAGGCAAGGACAGGGCAAGAGGGGAAGGAGCUGGUGCAGGGGGAGCUCACCACUCUCUCCUUGUAGACGAUGUACUUCAACCACUUGAAGUCCUGCCACUUGAAGCCAGCGAGGACAAAUAGAGAAUCGCGUUCAUAUUGCUCAGGCCGCUGCAUGGCGCCCUCAGGGUAGGUGAUGCGCAGUGUAGUUUUGCUGCCCACGUCCUUCUCAAAGCCUUUCACUGGUGCGGAGUUCAGUCUACAGAGAGCAGGCCCAGUCAGAGCCUGCCCUGGGCUCGCUGUGUGUAGUCUGUGGGCUUGUGUCUGGGGAGCCACUCUGACCCCAGAAUUCCCCAGGUGCAGAGAAUAGGGAGCCAGGUCACCUGAAGCCACCAGGUCACCUGGAGCCACCUAGCUUUCUAGAGCCCUCCGACCAGGGUUCUUCUCUAGGCUUCUGCUGACCUCCAGUCCGACUAGCCAGAUGGACAGAUAGUUCUCAGUGGACUCAGGGACGAGGGUUCGGGCCAGGACCCUCAGGUGCCUGAGGCACUGCUGUUUGGGGAGCUCACCUGACCACAAUGUCAUAGUCAUCAAUUCGUGACCCCAGAGACUUGUUGGCUAGGACACCUCCGUUGCCCACGAUGAUGCAGCGGCGGCAGCUGAGGCUGAGGGGAGAGAGGCAGAGACCCCUGGAGAGCUGUCCGCCAGGGCUCCUUCUCCCUACCCCUUGGGCCCGUGACCUCAUGCCUUUGGCCAGAUGCAGGCUGGGAUGGGGGAAGACCAAUGGGCUUCAGGCAGCAUUCUGAGGCCAAAGCCAUACUGUCGGUAGCUGGGCCACUUGGGACUCUCGGACAGCCCUAGUCCCAGAGAUUCUCCAGGAAAGUGUCGCUGUGGAAGGGGCAAGGACGUUAGUUCUGGGGUGGUGAGGAAGGGGCCUCUGGUAAGAUGGCAUUCUAGGCUCAAGGCUCCCCAAGGAUUAGUGGAGUUCAAGAAAGAGGGCAAAGUGGGCUGAUUUGAAGGCUGUGCCAGAGAGGGAAGCAGAGAGGACAGGCCUGGAGGCUCCAGGACCCAAGGGUGGGCUUAUAUUCAGCUCAGAAGCCCCCAGGCUCCCAUUAGCCACCAGAGAGCCCUACUUAUUUUGCUUCUCCCACCUGGGGCUUCCGCACCCAGGGGCGGUGGGCUCCUCAGCUGUCACCGUCUCCUGCGUGUAAGCCCUGCCCCCUCAGCUGCCUUCUCCACCCUGUCCUUCAGCCCCACUGCUGGGCUGAUCUCAGCCCAGUGCCUGGCCUGCCCUUCUUACCCUCAGACCUCUGCUGGCUGAGGACUGAAGACUGAAACACGUUGCCAAGUGCUGACGGUCCAGGGGGUGCAGGCCAGCACCGGAUGGCCCCACUGAUCUGCUCACCACCCCAGCAUGUGUGCUGUGUGUGCACAUCUGUGGACAUGCUGGAGAAUGUGCUCGUGUCCAGGCUAAGCUGGCAGGGCCUCGGCAUCUCUGAGCAUGCCAGGCAGCU